This 227-nucleotide ribosomal RNA is filed under the name uncultured Enterobacteriaceae bacterium. RNAcentral's name for it is "partial 16S ribosomal RNA". It matches the Rfam family "Bacterial small subunit ribosomal RNA", at positions 1157 to 1382 of the family's 1533-position model. The record is from RNAcentral. Lineage: Bacteria; Pseudomonadati; Pseudomonadota; Gammaproteobacteria; Enterobacterales; Enterobacteriaceae.
GAUAAACCGGAGGAAGGUGGGGAGUGACGUCAAGUCAUCAUGGCCCUUACCGAUAGGGCUACACACGUGCUACAAUGGCAUGUACAAAGAGAAGCGAACUCGCGAGAGCAAGCGGACCUCAUAAAGUAUGUCGUAGUCCGGAUUGGAGUCUGCAACUCGACUCCAUGAAGUCGGAAUCGCUAGUAAUCGUAGAUCAGAAUGCUACGGUGAAUACGUUCCCGGGCCUU